This is a long non-coding RNA of Neofelis nebulosa (Clouded leopard), 316 nucleotides long. RefSeq lists it as uncharacterized. The record is from RefSeq and is a predicted model, not a curated record. The transcript is spliced from 3 exons. Lineage: Eukaryota; Metazoa; Chordata; Mammalia; Carnivora; Felidae.
UCUAGAUGGACUGGUAAAAAUGGAGCACUGCCAAGCAAACCCCAAGAAAAUGUCCAGCCUCAACAUGAAGUUUUACUGGCUUCUGAGGAAGUGAAAGAUGUCUGAGUGCGGGACCUAGAAUAUGAAUUGUCAAGGGAUGUGGAGGAACAAAGAGAUCCACAGAUGGAUCAUUCAACUCCUGCCACAAUUAUGCUGUGUAAUGAGGAGCCAUAAAACCUCAGUGACAUACAGUUUCCUACCUUGAUAUCGGUUCUGAUGGAGGUUCCUACUUGGAGGUUUCUGCUCUGGUAAGUGGCAAUUCUCUAUAUCCACCCGU